RNAcentral lists this ribosomal RNA (468 nucleotides) under uncultured bacterium. RNAcentral describes it as "partial 16S ribosomal RNA". It matches the Rfam family "Bacterial small subunit ribosomal RNA", at positions 28 to 507 of the family's 1533-position model. The record is from RNAcentral.
GACGAACGCUGGCGGCGUGCUUAACACAUGCAAGUCGAACGGAAAGGCCCUGCUUUUGUGGGGUGCUCGAGUGGCGAACGGGUGAGUAACACGUGAGUAACCUGCCCUUGACUUUGGGAUAACUUCAGGGAACUGGGGCUAAUACCGGAUAGGAGCUCCUGCUGCAUGGUGGGGGUUGGAAAGUUUCGGCGGUUGGGGAUGGACUCGCGGCUUAUCAGCUUGUUGGUGGGGUAGUGGCUUACCAAGGCUUUGACGGGUAGCCGGCCUGAGAGGGUGACCGGCCACAUUGGGACUGGGAUACGGCCCAGACUCCUACGGGAGGCAGCAGUGGGGAAUAUUGCACGAGGGGCGGAAGGAUGAUGCAACAACGCCGCGUGCGGGAUGACGGCCUUCGGGUAGGAAACCGCUUUCGCCUGUGACGAAGCGUGAGUGACGGUAAUGGGUAAAGAAGCACCGGCUAACUACGUG